GAUGAACGCUAGCGGGAGGCCUAAUACAUGCAAGUCGAACGGUAAGGUCCUUCGGAUACACGAGUGGCGGACGGGUGCGUAACGCGUACGGAAUAUACCUUCAACAGGGAGAUACCUCCGGGAAACUGGAAUUAAUACCCAUAGUAUUAUAGAUUCGCAUGAAUUUAUGAUUAAAGCUCAGGCGGUUGAAGAUUAUCGUGCGUCUGAUUAGGUAGUUGGUAGGGUAAUGGCCUACCAAGCCAACGAUCAGUAGCUGGUCUGAGAGGAUGAUCAGCCACACGGGCACUGAGACACGGGCCCGACUCCUACGGGAGGCAGCAGUAGGGAAUAUUGGACAAUGGGCGCAAGCCUGAUCCAGCCAUCCCGCGUGAAGGAUUAAGGCCCUCUGGGUUGUAAACUUCUUUUCUUUGGGAAUAAAAACUCCGUUUCUACGGAGCUUGAAGGUACCAGAGGAAUAAGCACCGGCUAACUCCGUGCCAGCAGCCGCGG
This 489-nucleotide ribosomal RNA is filed under the name uncultured bacterium. RNAcentral describes it as "bacterial SSU rRNA". It matches the Rfam family "Bacterial small subunit ribosomal RNA", at positions 28 to 520 of the family's 1533-position model. The record is from RNAcentral.